This 854-nucleotide ribosomal RNA is filed under the name uncultured bacterium. RNAcentral's name for it is "bacterial SSU rRNA". It matches the Rfam family "Bacterial small subunit ribosomal RNA", at positions 8 to 845 of the family's 1533-position model. The record is from RNAcentral.
AGAGUUUGAUCAUGGCUCAGGACGAACGCUGGCGGCGUGCUUAACACGUGCAAGUCAAGGAGAACGUCACCUUCGGGUGGCUAUUAGACUGGCGAACGGGUGAGUAUCGCGUAGGCAACCUGCCCUUCAGAUUGGAAUAGCCCCGGGAAACCGGGAUUAAUACCGAAUAUUAUUACAUUUCAUAAGUGAUGUAAUGAAAGCGGGCUUCGGCUCGUACUGAGGGAUGGGCCUGCGUCUGAUUAGUUUGUUGGUGGGGUAAUGGCCUACCAAGACUACGAUCAGUAGCUGGUUUGAGAGGAUGAUCAGCCACACUGGGACUGAGAUACGGCCCAGACUCCUACGGGAGGCAGCAGUGGGGAAUUUUGCGCAAUGGGCGAAAGCCUGACGCAGCAACGCCGCGUGAUCGAUGAAGCUCUGAGGAGUGUAAAGAUCUGUCCAAGGGGAAGAAAAACCGAGAUGUAAAUAAUGUCUUGGUGUGACGGUACCCUUGAAGAAAGCCCCGGCUAACUUCGUGCCAGCAGCCGCGGUAAUACGAGGGGGGCAAGCGUUGUCCGGAAUUAUUGGGUGUAAAGGGCUCGUAGGCGGGCCGAUCAGUCAGAAUUUAAAUACUACGGCUUAACCGUAGACCUGGUUCUGAUACUGUCGGUCUUGAGUAUGGUAGAGGUAAGCGGAAUUCCUGNUGUAGCGGUGAAAUGCGUAGAUAUCAGGAAGAACAUCGAAGGCGAAGGNAGCUUACUGGGGCCAAAACUGACGCUGAGGAGCGAAANCGUGGGGAGCNAACAGGAUUAGAUACCCUGGUAGUCCACGCCGUAAACGAUGANUACUUGAUGGUGGGGGAUUCNACCCCUUCACUG